This is a long non-coding RNA of Haliotis rubra (blacklip abalone), 178 nucleotides long. RefSeq lists it as uncharacterized. The record is from RefSeq and is a predicted model, not a curated record. Lineage: Eukaryota; Metazoa; Mollusca; Gastropoda; Lepetellida; Haliotidae. The transcript is spliced from 2 exons.
CCCUGUUAAACACAGUGACCUGACAAUGUGAUCCUGAAUGUUGGGUUACUUCUCUACAUUACUGCAUUGAUAUUGGGAAACACACAGCUUUUUCAUUUGAAAAAGUAUCCUUUCUUAAAGUGAAGAUGUCUUAUUUUAUAACGCAACUUCUUAUGAUUAAUCAAAGCUAAGAUGGUUU